UUCUGGCUUUUUUUUUUUAAUCAGACACCUGGCAUUUCUGAACAUUGUAAGUAACUCCUUCACGUAUGGGAGAGGGAUUCUUGGGCAGGUGGUGUCUGGGAAGUGGGCGGGGUGUUAUGAUGUCAAAAGAGUUUCCCGUCCAUUAAUGGGUGUAGCGGGAUGUGCUGGAAACCAGUACUUUCUCAGCGACCCUCAAGGGACCACAGCUGUUUAUGGAGGAGGUCCCCAUCCAAGUCUAUCCCAGAAGGGGCUCAUUUCCAGGUUCACCGUGAACAGACCCCGCCUACUGGCAAGGCUCAGCCUGUGUCAUGUGAUGAAGAAUUACAAAGACUCCAUCAGCAGUGGAGUCCAACACAGUUCAUCUCCUUGUCUAGCCAUGUAAGUGAGGAAAACGUGAAAAGGUCACCAGAGAACAUCUCCUCGAACAUGGAAGACUUCCUGUCCCCCAUGGGCCCUGACUGACUGAGACGGACGCUUCCUGUCCCCCAUGGACCCUGACUGACUGAGACGGACGCUUCCUGUCCCCCAUGGACCCUGACUGACUGAGACGGACGCUUCCUGUCCCCCAUGGACCCUGACUGACUGAGACGGACGCUUCCUGUCCCCCACGCCAUGCUGGUCUUUUCAGCACGUCUCCCUGGCUCUGCUUCUGUCUUGCUCCUCAAGGAUACAUUAGAUAAUGUGGAAACUUGGCUCUGACCUCUCUCUCUCUCUCUCUCUCUCUCUCUCUCCACCGAGCGCGCUCUUGUCACUUCUCGUCUCAUUUGAGCUUAAUUUACGAGGAAAAUAACCAACGUGAGUGAGAGCCCAGGGAGUGUUCAGCAAGCGGGGCAUGCAUAGUGAAGCUGUUGUCCCAAGCAAUGCCUGGAGGGGGAGACGUCCUGUGUGACAGUGAUACUCCUUCCUCACUGGAACUCACGACAGUGGGGGGCAUUAAGGGUAAGAAGCUUAAACUAGCACCGGAGGCUUGAUGGUUCAAAUCCCAGGUGUGAAAUGUCUGCUAUACCUUUGGUGAAAAAGACCCUUAAUAUCCAGUGUAUUAAAAACAGUGAGAGGUCUGUAAAUCUGUUGUGGGUGACCACCCCCUGUAAGUAAUGCGGUCUCGUAGAGAAACUGGGGGGGUGAGUCAGCGGCUGCCACACCUGGAGCUGCCUGUAGAGGGCAGUGUCCGCUCUCUACUCUGCGCUCAGGCACAGGUGAGCGAUUGCUUCACCCCACUUGGGAUGGGGCCUGGUGGCUGGACGCGAGUCCCUGCCUGCAGCACCUUUUACAUACUUUCUGCCCAUCUCCAUGCCACAGGUUCUUGUUAAUGGGGGCCAGCACAGGCAGACAGGUUGUGAAAGCCCUCCCCAAAGUGCUGGGCCCCCACCUUUAAGGGACACUAAUGCAGGGCUUAAGCCCCAGUGUAAACAGGACUCCCUACAUGAAAGUCGCGGUCCGGCCGCUUAAGCGGCCAUUGCCCAUUCCGAGGCCUAAUGGCUCUGUUUUAUUUUGUUGUUUAAACGUUUGGAUUGCGUUAUAUUAACAGAGCAAUCCACGUACCCCGUCUAAAUGGAAGUGCGUCUCUGUUUUCUCCGAAGCAGCUGUUAAAAUACUCUCUGUUCCACAAACUGCCUCCGGCUGCGGGAGCAUCCCUUUUUCGUCAAGUAAUUUACCGCCAUCCCUAGAGCGCGGUUGGCGUGAGAAUCACUUUGCGAAACAUGUUAAUCCUCCGGAGACACUGGGGAAAACCACGCCAGUUAAUCCAUCAGCAGGCCGAAUCCAAAUGAUGUCAGGAUCGACUGCUGGUGCCCUUGGGCUAAUGUGCGCGCUCCCGUGAGGAGAGCUCCCGUGAGGAGAGAUCCCGUGAGGAGAGAUCCCGUGAGGAGAGCUCCCGUGAGGA
Non-coding RNA from Paramormyrops kingsleyae, 1882 nucleotides. The record is from RefSeq and is a predicted model, not a curated record. Lineage: Eukaryota; Metazoa; Chordata; Actinopteri; Osteoglossiformes; Mormyridae.